UUUUUUUUUUAGGAUUCCAAGUAUCUUUAUUGAAUAGCCAUAAGAUCUUUCGAUACCAUAUAUGUAUGUAUGUAUAUAUGUUUAGAGAAAGUUAUGGCUGAACGCCAAACUUUAUCAAGGUAUUAUAACAUAUUAAUAUGUGUCACCAACAAACUCAGCGCCACAUACGUCAACAGAAUUAAGUUUUAAGAAUAUUUUGCUUAUAUACCAUGGGGAGAAAAAGAAAAUUGAGAAUGUCUGGAGAAAGUUAUCUUACCUCCUCCCUUCUUGCUUCCCAAACCUCCCACUGUAGGCUCGAAAGGAAAUCAUUCCACAUUUAAGCUGUAUUGAGUGAUUUCUAAAAGAUUUUAUUUAACUUGCUUCCAUAUCUGUCUUCUAUAAAUCUUGUAAUUAAUUUACUUACAUAGCACACCAAUGUGUUUGAAAUUUGGUAGACUUGCUUAAACCCGAUGACAGUGCAAUUUACAAAAUUCUAGACUUCUGAUUGGUCGGCGCAAUUGACAAUUUUCUAUAUUUAUUAACAUUGUAAGACAAGAUGAAGAUCUGAGUGUCCAUACAGAACUUUUUUAUGAUCGAUAAAUCUUUCAUGACAGUUGAUAUAAAGGUUUGCAAUAUUCUAAGUGAAAGAAUGAGGUCAUUGGAUGUUAAAAACAUGGCAGAUUGAUUUCACACCUUAAAAAAUCACUUUCUCUUGUCAUUUUCCCCCAAGAGAACCAAUUAUAUGGUAGAUAUUCUUAAAAAAGAAUGUUCAUAGAUUAGCAUGGUCAAUUUAAUUAAAUUUUUGAUCAAUUUCCUUGUUUUUCUUAUAUGAUCUAUUUCUAUGUCUUUAGGAAUAGUAUUACUAACUGAAAAAAUAAUCUGACAUUUCUUAUCCGAAAAAAAAAAGGUGGAUUAACAAAAUCCAAUAUUUUAGUUACUGGUCACUCUUUUCCUUUUAUGUAUAUUCCAUACUUUAGUUCACAUUCCUAUGGCUAAAUUGUUCUUAGCCAUAUAUAACCUAUAUUUAUAGAAGAUAGUUCUUAUCUAUUAGCAUAAUGAUAACAGAGAAAAAUAAUAAACCUUGAAAUUAAGACAAUGAUAAUCUCUCUAUUCGUUAUAGAAGAAAAUACACAAGUCAGGGGAGAAGAGAUUAUUUUGUACGAGAACGAUCGUACAAGUCCGUAGAAAGGCGUCUUGUCCGAAGGUUUGAUGAUCGUCCUCGUAUAGAAGAGGCUCUUCUCCCCGACUUAUGUCGUACAAGUCCGCAGAAAGGCGUCUUGUACGAAGGUUUGUACGAUCAUCCUCGUAUAGAAGAGGCUCUUCUCCCCGACUUAUGUCGUACAAGUCCGCAGAAAGGCGUCUUGUACGAAGGUUUGUACGAUCGUCCUCGUAUAGAAGAGGCUCUUCUCCCCGACUUAUGUCGUACAAAUCCGUAGAAAGGCGUCUUGUCCGAAGGUUUGACGAUCGUCCUCGUAUAGAAGAGGCUCUUCACCCCGACUUAUGUCGUACAAAUCCGUAGAAAGGCGUCUUGUCCGAAUGUUUGUAUGACCGUCCUCGUAUAGAAUAGGCUCUUCUCCCCGACUUAUGUCGUACAAGUCCGUAGAAAGGCGUCUUGUCCGAAUGUUUGUACGAUCGUCCUCGUAUAGAAGAGGCUCUUCUCCCCGACUUAUGUCGUACUAGUCCGUAGAAAGGCGUCUUGGCCCAAGGUUUGUACGAUCGUCUUCGUAUAGAAGAGGCUCUUCUCCCCGACUUAUGUCGUACAAGUCCGUAGAAAGGCGUCUUGUACGAAGGUUUGUAUGACCGUCCUCGUAUAGAAGAAGCUCUUCUCCCCGACUUAUGUCGUACAAGUCCGUAGAAAGGCGUCUUGUCCGAAUGUUUGUAUGACCGUCCUCGUAUAGAAGAAGCUCUUCUCCCCGACUUAUGUCGUACAAGUCCGUAGAAAGGCGUCUUGUCCGAAGGUUUGUACGAUCAUCCUCGUAUAGAAGAGGCUCUUCUCCCCAACUUAUGUCGUACAAGUCCGUAGAAGGACGUCUUGUCCGAAGGUUUGUACGAUCAUCCUCGUAUAGAAGAGGCUCUUCUCCCCGACUUAUGUCGUACAAGUCCGUAGAAAGGCGUCUUGUCCGAAGGUUUGUACGAUUGUCCUCGUAUAGAAGAGGCUCUUCUCCCCGACUUAUGUCGUACAAGUCCGUAGAAAGGCGUCUUGUCCGAAUGUUUGUAUGACCGUCCUCGUAUAGAAGAAGCUCUUCUCCCCGACUUAUGUCGUACAAGUCCGUCGAAAGGCGUCUUGUCCGAAGGUUUGACGAUCGUCCUCGAAUAGAAGAAGCUCUUCUCCCCGACUUAUGUUUCAUCUUCUAAACGUCUCUCUAUAAUCGUUUAUAAUCCUUAACCUAGGCUGUCAAAGUUUCUAUCUCAUCAAAUAAGAGAAAAGAGCAAAAUUGAAAGAAAAAAAAAAAAAAGAAAAUCAGAGAGUUCAAAUUUUUUUUACCAAGGCAGUGACCUUGAACCCCAACAUACUUAUAUGUAUAUAUGUGUAUUUAUAUUAGAUAAUUAAUAGAUAUAGUGUAUUAUUUUGUAUUGAAUAUAUGCAAAUUAUUUUGAAGAAAAAAAAAAGAACGUCGAAAAGAAACUGGCUCAGUAUUGAAAUGGUGUUUCUAGAGAGAAUUAUGAAGUACAUUGAUAUAUAUUGUAUGGAAAUAUAAAAGGUAUAUUCUAUCACUUUUUAUUAUAUAUUCAAUAUUUAGGGAGAGUGAGUAUCGUAUUAAGAAUAAAAAUUCUAACUUUCAAUUUGUUCUUAAUCUUUCAAUACCAGGAGUUUAGUCUAUUUAAAGAAUUUUGUACAAGAUAGUCUUUUUAAUCACUAAAUUUUAUCUAAAUGGAACAUUAUAAGACAGCGCUAUAGGAUAAAAUACAUAUAAUCUGGUAAGACCAUUCUCAUCUGUUUCUUCUUUUUCUUAGAAUCAUUCUUCAACACAAAUUUUAUCCCUAAGUGCCUGUUCUCAUUUUUCACCAUUCUGCUGUGCAUCACAUUGAAGAUUUCUUCAAGAUGUGUGUUCUACUCUAUCAUAAGUUCUUCUUUCUUUCAAACACACAACAGAGAGUUGUUGUUGUCGUGUCCAACGAAGAGCCUCAGAUGUCUCCAUGCAUCUCUAUCACAGCAGCAGCAAUACUACAGAGAGUAGAGGGGCUAUUGAAGCCUUCAAAUUUCCAUAGGCAAGAUCCUUCAAUUGAAAAGUUAAAGCGUUCAAAUUGAUUUAAUUUCCUCUUUAAACCAUUCCAAAUAUUAUUCCUGUUCUCUUUUCGAUUAUUAAAAUAUUUUGUACCCUUAUCUAUCAAUCAUUUUGUUAUAUAGAAGCAUCACUUUUUGUCAAGUUUUUCAUCUGAAAUUCAAAAGACUAAAAUUUUAUUCAAACAUGUUUUUAUGUACAUAUGUAUUUGAAUAUAUGUGUGUGUGUGAAUUUAUAUAUAUAAGUUUUUUGUAUAUGUGUAUGCUUCCUUUAUGCAAAUGUAUAUAUGUGUGGUUAUAUGCAUGCGUGUAUAUUACGAGUUUAUUAAGUCAUUUUGGCUGAAAAAUCAUUAUUACUACUUCACCACACAGCAAAUGCCUUUUUGGAUGAUUGAAACGAUUUCAUAUAUAUUUGCAUCUUAGUUUCUCUGUAAAUCGAAGCUGUUCUUGUCUUAGUGAUGGAGCCAUGUCCAGUGAGUAUCAUUUAAGGAUAGCGAGAUUUCCCAAAUUUGAUCAUAAUCUGGUGUUGGGCCAAUAUUGGAAUAUACAAGAUUUGAACAAAGAAGUUCGAAUUGGCUCCAUAUCCUGGUGUUUCGAUAAAAGAAGACUAUAAAUAAAAAGCUCAGAAUCCAUGCUGAUUUUAUCUUUAUCCUUCAUAUUGUAGUUGUUGUAUCGCCUAACAAGCGUGUACUAUGGGAAUAGCCUUAGGAAAAGCAAAAUCAUCUGCAAUACAUAUGAAUGAAAACCAAAACAUCUUCCAAAGGUGAGUUCCUUACUUUAUUUUAUAUUAAUCUCAAGCUUUCGGGUAUCACAAACCUUUCUACAAGAUGAGAUUUCAUCAUAUAACCCUGUAAAAGGAUUUGAAUUACCCGAAAGCUUGUGAUGAUUAUACAAUAAAGCUUGAAGCUCACCCUCGGAAGCUGUUUUGGUUAUCAUGUAUAUGUAUUGGAAAGAAUUUUGAUUUUACUAUGGCUAUCCCCAUAGUACAGGCUUGUUAGGCGGUACAACUACGAUAGGAAGGAUAAAGAGAAGAUUAGUAUGGAUCCUGCGCAAGGAUGACAUGCAAAAUCGUGAAGCGUUCCAUUUCGUUCCAUAGCUAUGUGAACUCUGCUAACUGUCGAAGAGGAGGAAGAUCUACAGAACUAUGCAACUACGUCGGGACAACUUCAGAUAGACCCAAUCCCUUCUGCCUCUUGUGCCGAACCCGUAGAAUCGAACUUGUGGUCAAUUUAUCACAAGCUCGGAUGUACGGGCACGGGACGGGAGGCAUGUCGCGACAUGGGGACAACUGGUCAUCGCUUCUGCAAGCUGAGACUCUGUAUAUAGUGACAUUUUGUAAGUUAUCACUGUGUGUCUAUCUACAUAGCAUGCUGCUUCCCCACUUCCUGUCUAUCACACACACAUAUCUGUAGCCAUUAUAUGUUCUUUCUAUUGUGUAAAUAAUCUUAAUAAAGAAAAACUUAUUGCCAUUAUCUUGAUUGACAUAUUGUAUUUAAACCUUUGCUAUUAGUUUAAGAAUCUUUAGUCACAUAAAUAUGUAUUAUAAAUAUAAAUGAAUAUAUAUACAUAGUUUCUUUUUACAAACUUUCGUAUUGAUUUUAUAUUUCGCUGAUAGCUACUUUUUAAUUAAUUGUAUAUUUUCGAUUGAUCAAUAUAGCGCCUGUGACACACAAUAUAUACAACCUCGCUAAAACGAACCAGGGAUAUAGCGAACCCUCCCUUAUAACCAACCUGAAAUAAUCCCUAUUUUAUAAUACAUUGAACUAUAGCUAUAAUGAACCAUGGCUAUAUUGAACCAUAGGUUGAGUUCCAUUGGGGUUCGCUAUAGAGGGGUUUUACUAUAUUUAUAUAACUAGCUAUUACGAAGCCUAAUGGGACUGAGCUUUUGGUUCACUAUAGCCAUGGUUCAAUCUAUGGUAUCACUAAUAUUGGGGAUUAUUCUAAUUUCUUUAUAAUGUGGAUGGUUCGCUAUAUCCUCGGUUUCUCAAUUUUUGUGAUAGUUGUACUGUAAACAGUUUUAUGUGUUUUAAACGGGGAAAAAUUACAUCGGUUCACUACAUUUUCCGAAAUAAAUCCAAUUCCGAAUGAAAUAUUUAGCUAAAAUGAUAGUUACAAUGAUAUAAUGCUAUAAUGAUUGUUACAAGAUAUUUAAAUUAUACAAAAUAAAGAUAAAAUGAUAGAUACUUCUCCAAUGAAUUAAACCCAAUAUAUUCUGUUAACGUAAGAUAUAUGGUAAUUCCAACAGAAAUCGAAAGUUUAAAAAAAAAAAAAAAAACGUUUUUGAUAACCAAUCGCAUCCUAUCUCAAGGUUUCUUGAACUCCCUUUAUCAAGCCAUGAUAAGACAUCGGGUUGUAACCUAACAAAGGAAUGCCUUGCAAUGUCAGAUUCUCGUUGCUCACACACAGUUGUCAUAAAAUGAAAUUACUAAUUGGUUCCCCCUCUCCUCAUUAUCCACUUCUAAAAAUAAACAUUCAACACAACGGUAAACAGGAAAGUUCAUUUGUUGCCACUUUUGUUCGGGGGGUAAUUUGUCACAAGGAAUUUGUUCCGAAAACUGAGUUGUUCUCUACUCGAUCGUCUAUAGUUUAGGAAAAAAGCAGUUAAGUUAUAUAACUGAAAAUUAGGUACGCGUGCAAAAGGUGAUAUUCUUAUUUCAACAAAGAUAACGACAUAAUAUAGUUUGAAUUCUAUAUGGUAAUAAGAUUUUCUUCUUCUUUCUAAUCUCCUCUCAAUCAUUUUUUUAGAUGUCCGUGGAACUUUAUGAUUGAAAAAGCGAAAUAAAUAGUUCUUCUUUAUUCAUUAAGAAUGGGAAUACUCCUCAGUAGCUGAUUAGCCUUCAAUAUUAAAUAGUUGCCUCUGCAAGGAGGAACGGACAUUCUAUGCAGCCGCUUCUAACUUUGAGUACCGAAGUUGUUCAUCCUGUGUUCCUGGAACAGAAGUUCUUACAAUGUACUAUCAGCAAGGCCAUCUGAGCUUAGGUUUUUGUUUCUUCUUCUUUCUUAUCUCCACUCAAUCACACUAAAGUAUCAAGCUUGUAAAGCUUGAGACUUUUGAUGGUGUCUGCUGGGGAAGAGUAGAGCUCAUAGGUUUUUUUUAGCUAACUAGAGUAAAACCUUGCUAAAACGAACCAAGGAUAUUGCGAACCUUCUAUUAUAACGAACCUUAAAAAUAUAAUUUCUAUAUAUAUUUAAAAAUACAGUGAACUCUAUGGAUAUAAUGAACCAUUGCUAUAGUGAACCAAAGGUUCAGUUCCAAUUGGAGUUCACUAUAGAGAGGAAGGUUUUACUGUAGUUACUGCUCCUCUUCAUCUUUCUUAAUCCGGGCUUGGGACCGGCAAUGUCGAAAUUUUCCAAUAAGGUAACAAACGUGGCAGGAUCAGAUAAUUCAAGAUGGUUAUAUUUCUUGGCCAGUACUCGUGUACACUUGCAAAAAAAAAAUCUUUCCGAGGUGACAAUAUGCAACUGAAGAUCAAAUUAGUGUUAACUAAACGAGACAAUUUGUUAGCAGACAAUUAUAAUAGGAACAAUAAACCAGAUAUAUAAAUAGCUUUUACAAAAAAAGCAGAAUUAAUGCUCGAAUGAUUGAAUCAUUGUUGAUGGCCAAACGUAACGGAAGACAAGAGAAUGGCGGAGAUUUUGACAAUACCAAAAGAAUAAAAGGUAACGUCGCUACAUCCUUUUUAUUUAUUAUUAAAAAGAAAUUACAGAAAAUUUCGAAAAGCUCUUUAUCAGCUUGGUGUAUAUUGUAGUCAAAUUGUUUUGUGAUAGCUAGUGAGAUAAAGAGAGAAAAUAGAGGCAACCCGAGCUCCUGGAGCAUUCUAGUGAGAUAUACAAACUCGCCUUAUCUAUCCAAGCGCGCAUUUAUUUAUUAAACUAUUUUACUUAUAAUGUAUGCAUCAAGGUGAUAAAGAACUUAUAUGAACGUUUCUGUAAUUACUUUUAAUAAUUAAAUUUCAAAAGAUUCAGUGUUGCGCUCUUCAUUCUUUUGUUCGUACUGCCUAGAUGGGUAUUCAAUAACAAUUCAAUGAGCAAAUAAUUUCUGCCAUUCGGAUGAUGAUAUAUGGAGGAUUGUAGAAAGAUAGUGCAGACGACUGUAUGGAGCUGUGAGGUGGAAGGGUGUAAUGACCGUAUAUACAGCAGUAGAGAUAAGGUUACAAAAGUCAAAGUCUGACCUCUUGACCUCCCCGCAGCUGGAGUAGACACCUGCUCUGGACACACUACUGGCCGUUACCUACCCUAUCUACAUAUACCACCGCCAUCUACACUUCUUUCUCUCUACCCUUUCCAUCUACAAUAUUUAUCUUGAAACUGUUGAUUUGGAUGAUAACUCUUUUGUUUAAUUUCUUCUAUUUGUUGUUGUUGUGUUUUCGUGUUCAAUGAAGAGCCUCAGAUGUCUCCAUGCAUCUCUAUCACAGCAGUCGCAAUAUUCUCUAUCUUGGGCGUGUAAAGCUGCUGUUUUGGGUCCAUGUCAAUUUUCUGUUGUUAUUGUUGUGUUCAAUGAAAAGCCUCAGAUGUCUCCAUGUAUCUCUAUCAUAGCAAUGGCCUUUAUCUUGGAUGUGUAAAUCUUCUGUUCUGGGUCCAUGUCAAUUUCUGUUGUUAUUGUUGUAUCCAAUGAAGAGCUUCAUAUGUCUAUAUGCAUCUCUAUCACAGCAGCAGCAAUGUUAUCUUUUUUGGAUGUGUAAAGCUGCUGUUCUGGGUCCAUGUCAAUUAUCUGUUGUUGUUGUCGUUUCCAAUGAAGAGCCUCAUAUGUAUCCAUGCAUCUCUAUCACAGCAGUCGCACUCUAUCUUAGUUGUGUAAAGCUGUUGUCCUGGGUCCAGGUAAAUUAUCUGUUGUUGUCGUCGUUCCCAAUGAAGAGUAUCAGAUGUCUCCAUACAUCUCUAUCACAGCAGUCGCAAUGUUCUCUAUCUUGGGAGUGUAAAGCUGCUGUUCUGGGUCCAUGUCAAUUAUCUGUUGUUGUUGUCGUGUCCAAUGAAGAGCCUCAUAUGUCUCCAUGCAUCUCUAUCACAGCAGUCGCAAUGUUCUCUAUCUUGGGAGUGUAAAGCUGCUGUUCUGGGUCCAUGUCAAUUUCUGUUGUUAUUGUUGUGUCCAAUGAAGAGCUUCAGAUGUAUCCAUGCAUCUCUAUCACAGCAGUCGUAAUAUCCUCUAUCUUAGGUGUGUAAAGCUGCUGUUCUGGGUGCAUGUCAUUUUUUGCAAGGCUGCGGUCAUUGCUGGGCAUGAGAACAUGUGGGUAGGUGUUAGUUCCACUCCAGGACAACUAGUUCUUCUCUUUGUCAUAUCAGUAUGAUUUAUUUUCCUUUUUUUUUCAGAAACAUUGAGCGCUCUUUAACAUUAAUGCUAAAGGAUGUUCCGAAAAUAUGUAAAACCUAUUUUUCACUUCUGUAUUUAAAAAAUAAUUUGCUUUAUUACCGUUUAAAAUUCUUAACUGAGGUUUUAUUGUUUGUUAUAUAUAUGAAACAAAUGAAAACACUCGCGUCUUGAUGUUUUCAUUUGUUAUAUUUAUAUAGAUGGCGCGUUAUUGCU
RNAcentral lists this non-coding RNA (8723 nucleotides) under Cordylochernes scorpioides. The record is from RNAcentral. Lineage: Eukaryota; Metazoa; Arthropoda; Arachnida; Pseudoscorpiones; Chernetidae.